This 576-nucleotide small RNA is filed under the name Pan troglodytes (chimpanzee). RNAcentral describes it as "processed transcript". Lineage: Eukaryota; Metazoa; Chordata; Mammalia; Primates; Hominidae. The record is from RNAcentral.
AGCAAAGUAAAGGAAGAUAAAUUUAAAGGAAGUCUUUCUGAAGGAAUGAAAGUUGAGCAGGAAUCUUCGUCUGAUGAUAACCUUGAAGACUUUGAUGUAGAGGAAGAAGAUGAAGAAGCCCUAAUAGAACAGAGAAGAAUCCAAAGGCAGGCAAUUGUUCAGAAAUAUAAAUACCUUGCUGAAGAUAGCAACAUGUCUGUGCCAUCUGAACCAAGCAGCCCCCAGAGCAGUACGAGAACACGAUCACCAUCUCCAGAUGACAUUCUGGAGCGAGUAGCUGCUGAUGUUAAAGAGUAUGAACGGGAAAAUGUUGAUACAUUUGAGGCCUCAGUGAAAGCCAAGCAUAAUCUAAUGACAGUUGAACAGAAUAAUGGUGAGAGAGUUUUGUCCUGGCGACGCUUUUCUCUGAAUUUUUAGCUCUGUAACUUUAUAAUAAGAGACCUUAUUUGGGGUGGGAUUGGGAAAAGUAAAAGAUUAGACAUGUUGCUUCUGCUGAAUAUUGCAGUAAUAUAAUAUUAAAUAUGUCCUUACAAAUGUUCUCUAUAAAUGUGUUUUUAUUAGUUCACAUAUCCUGAA